AAUCUAUGAUGUAGGCAUUUCUGAAUCAAAAUCUUAAAGCACUACCAUGCUUCGUGAAAACUUUCUCCCUCUAAUUGUUUGAACAUAGAUAUUUCUCUUCUUAGCU
Non-coding RNA from Gossypium hirsutum (cotton), 106 nucleotides. NCBI's taxonomy places the organism in Eukaryota, Viridiplantae, Streptophyta, Magnoliopsida, Malvales, Malvaceae. The record is from Rfam.